AGGCAAGAGAUUGGAAGGCUCCUCCCUUCUUCGCUGAUAAAAGCUGGCAGAGGCUGAGACAGGACUGAGCUUUGGCUGAGCCUGUGCCAGGGAGAGGAAGAAAAAAAAUCCUAAAAGGAAAAAAAAACCCAGCCAGUGGAAGAAAACCGUCUGGAGGAACCCCAAAACAGCACCAGUGACAGCAAGAAGAGCACCAAGUCAGGAAGAGAGCACAAUUACUGAGGGCUCAAUGGCUUUCUUCCUCAAACCACGGCCAUGCACGUGGGACCUUGCCCUGGACUACCACACCGCCAAACAGUUUGAAGGUCAAAGGGGAAAACAAACAUCAGUUCCAGAUGCAAUGUUGCCCUUCUCAAACACUGUCCCAUUGCUACCUCUGGAUGUACCUCAAGUUCAAGAAGAAAGGCAAGUUUUGCAGCUGAGGCAGCACCAACCAACAACAUAAUAAUGAAAAACAUGGACUCACAGCUGAGACAGAGACUUCUUGAAUUGUUGGGACUCAUGCCUGCAUCUCCAGGCCCCUUCUUCUCUGAAAACAAUACUGUACUCCUGAAAUGGCGCUUCCUGUUGAUUUUCUAAGGGUUUCUAAAUGACAUCAGCUCCCACACCAAGGGGAUGGGUUUGGUCUUCUGUAGGAAGACUGCUCUGGAAUGUCCUCCUACCAGAGAGAACAGCAGCUUGGGUGGGCUUUGUCUUCCCCAGGAACAUGGAAGUAGAUCUGUCACAAAUGCAACCAUACAAAAUAUCUCAGAGAUGUUAUCUGUGAAACCAAAACUUCAGCAUUCACCUGCAAAAGCGAUGGCUGUGAUGAACAGAGCCGUGAAAAGCAUUGCCAGCACCACCUGGCAGGUGACACGUGCCUCUGGCUUCAUCUCCACGCUGUGACCUGCAGGAGAACAGACCUUCAGUGCCUCUGAGAGGGCUCCCUGGGCAGCAAAGUGCUACAGGUCAUGCCAAGAUGAUGAAAGGUUGGACUCAUACCAAUGCCAGUAGACUUAGUGUCAUUUUGAGUGAGAAAUACCAAAAAUUCUUCUUCACCUAGAACACAAUUAUUUAUCUUUUUAUUUAUGGGAGCUCUUUGGGGUACAAUUUCCUCCCUAGCUCCAGAUGCAAAUUCCAGAAAUGUACCAUGAUUUAAACUUUGCUUUAAUUUUUGGGGUUUACCUCAUUAUUAAAGCUCAGUGGAGUUUUUUUUCUCCACCUAAACUAAGACUAAACUUUGGGCCAUGGUACCUCCAUUUCUGUAUCUUGUGAUCCAGAAUAUGCUCUUUCCCUUCACCAUGGCCAAAGAAAAUUCUGUUUCCCAGGGGUUUUAUCCAAAAAUUCUAGUGUUUUCAUCCAGUAGUACUUCCCCCAUUUUUUGUUUAAUAUUUUUCAUUUUUGUCCCCAUCAUAUGAACCAAAUGUCAUGCAAAAAACCCUCCUCUCCCCUCUUCUUCCUGAAAAAACAUCAGAAAGUAAGUCAGAAGCCAAACAUGCUAUAUUUUUUUAACAUAUAUUUUAAAAAGCUCUAUGAAAAAAAUUUAAAAAAACAAAUGAAAAAUCAACAAAUUUAAUUUUUUUAAAAAAAUCAAAUUUGAAAAAGUCACAAAUGUGCUAAAUAAAGUAAAUCCAUUCCUCAAAAAUCUUGGUCACUGGUUGUGUAGAACAAGAUGAUGGAAAAUUCUCCAAAAGUCCCUUUUUUACUUUACUGUGUGCCAAAGUGUUGAUAGAGAUAGGAGCAAAAUCAGGAAAGCUGAAACAGGGCAAAAGGGAAAGCUGAUUUCUCCAUGGAAAUAAGACAAUAAUACAUACUUUCUGAUGUGUCCAAACUAGAUUUAAACACAAAAUUUCUUUUCCAGAUCUUCUACAGUUCAACUCUUCAAAAAUUUCUUUAUUCUAAUCCAGAAUAAUACAGAAAAUUGGAAUAUUUGUGGAGAAAAAAUAUGCCUAAAAUAAUCAGAUACUCAGGAGCCUCAGGAAGUGUUAAUACUAAAUUAGAAUCAUGUCUGAAUUCGGUCUGUUUAGAGCAAAAAUUCUAUCUGCUGAGUGACAAAAAUUUUCCCUCAGGGGAAGUACCAGAAAAAGUUUUUUCCCCAACAACCUUACUUCAGCUGAGUUUUUCUCUCAAAUUACAGAAGUAUCAAAAUAAAACCCAAAUCCAGUGAUUCUACAGUUCAUUGCCCUACAGUUACCUGCCCGCUUGCUCCUUGCCAUGCCCGAAAGUCCUGAAAAAACUCUCGUUUCCUCCAUUUCCAGGGUUCCACCUCCACAAGUGGAACAAACACCUGCCAAGCAAAGUUCCAUCUAUCAGAGGUGUCAUGAAGGCUUUUGGUCCUCAAUUAAAAUUUUCUCCCCAUUUAAAAUUUUCUCCCGGCACCACAUUUCAACUUUUCUCCCCAGCUGAAGUUUUCUCACACAAUUAAAAUCUUGUCCCUACAAUUAAAAUUUCCUCUCCACCCAAUUAGUUUUAUCCCCCUAAUUAUAUUUUUCUCCCCUCAGUUAAAAUUUUCUCCCUGUAAGUCAAGUCUUCUCCCCACAAUAAAACUUCUACCCCAAAUUAGUUUUCUCCACCAAUUAAAAUCUUCCCCUAUUAAAGUCUCCUCAGGUAACAUUUUCUCCCUGCAAUUAAAAUUUUCUGCUAUAAUUAAAUUUCCUCCAUGGCAUACUUUUCUCCCCAUGAAAGGUUUUCCCCCAAUUAACAUCUUCUCCCCCUCAAUUAAUAUUUUCUUUUCAAUUAAUAUUUUCUCCCCAAAAUUAAGGUUUUCUCCUCCCACUUAAAAUAAUCUCCCCUUAUUAAAAUCUCCUCAGUUUUCUCCUGCACUUAAAAACUUCUCCCUGAAAUUGAAAUUCCCUCCAAACAAAAUUUAAGACCACCUCCCCGCAGCCCCUGGGCCCAUCCCAAACCCUGUCACCUGUGUCUGCUCUGCAGGAACAAGCCCAAUGCUCCAGGCACAACCUGCUCCUGUGAAGAGAAACAAAGUAUUUAAAAAAAAAAAAAAGAAAAGUUGUUUUGGUUUAUUUUAUUGUUUUCUGUGGGGUUUUCCUGUGCCUCCUCAAGGGCAAUGAAGGGUGAUGCCCAGGGCCACCUGCCCACCCACUGAAACAGGGGUUCCCCUCCAGCUCCACCUGGCAUCACUUCUUCCUCUUUUCCAGCAUUUCCGGAUUUUUUUUCUCAGCUAGGGAGAUAGAUUGUCCAAAAUGCUUUUUUUUUUAGUGUGCAGUUGGAGGAAACACUGCUGGACAUGACUCUGUUCCAGGAUGCCAGGGCACCCCAGAACAGCCCUCAGGGAUUCUACAAGGAUGAAGUACAGUUUCCUUCAGCCCAUUUUAAGGUUUUUUUUUAACUAUAAAAAUAUAAAAAAAUAAGUGUUCUUGCAAUUAAGCUACCCAGCUGCAGGGUUUUACCCUAAAACCUAAUUUGUUUGUAUUUUUAAGGGGGUUUUUGUAAUCAUUGGUCACACACCACUGGAGCAGCUGCCUGUGCACAGGGCAGGAAGGGUGGCUGAUAGCUCACCACAAAAACUUUCAAUGACAAAGAAAAGGCUGCGAGUGGAAGAGAAACUAAAAAUAAACAUGAGAUACUAAAAAUAUAAAAAUAAAAAUUACAUAAACACAAAUUUAAAAUAAAAGUAUUUUUUUAUCUAACUAAAAAUUUUUAAAAAAUUAAAAAAUAAAAUAACGGAGUGUUUUUCCUAUUGGACCCUUUGGACCUUUGGGUUUAUCCUCUUAUUUAGCCUCUUUCUGGUUGCUGAUAGGUAUUGGGGCAAAUUUGUGCUUUUUUCCUUGCCUUUUUUUGGGUGUUCAAGGGAAAAAACAUAUUUUUUUUUACCGCUAUAAAAAGGUGUUGCUUUGGGAUGUUGUGGCACUGACUAAAACCUGGGAUUAACACAAAAAAAAAAAAAAAAAAA
RNA transcript from Parus major (Great Tit), 3889 nucleotides. It is a transcript of the gene named butyrophilin subfamily 1 member A1-like, with no coding region annotated. The transcript has 4 exons. The record is from RefSeq and is a predicted model, not a curated record. NCBI's taxonomy places the organism in Eukaryota, Metazoa, Chordata, Aves, Passeriformes, Paridae.